GGAGAGAUGGCUGAGCUGGUCUAAGGCGCACGACUGGAAAUCGUGUGACGGUGGAAGCCGUCCGAGAGUUCGAAUCUCUCUCUCUCCGCCA
This 91-nucleotide transfer RNA is filed under the name Clostridiaceae bacterium. RNAcentral describes it as "tRNA-Ser". It matches the Rfam family "tRNA". Rfam says of the family: Transfer RNA (tRNA) molecules are approximately 80 nucleotides in length. Their secondary structure includes four short double-helical elements and three loops (D, anti-codon, and T loops). Further hydrogen bonds mediate the characteristic L-shaped molecular structure. tRNAs have two regions of fundamental functional importance: the anti-codon, which is responsible for specific mRNA codon recognition, and the 3' end, to which the tRNAs corresponding amino acid is attached (by aminoacyl-tRNA synthetases). tRNAs cope with the degeneracy of the genetic code in two manners: having more than one tRNA (with a specific anti-codon) for a particular amino acid; and 'wobble' base-pairing, i.e. permitting non-standard base-pairing at the 3rd anti-codon position. The record is from RNAcentral. Lineage: Bacteria; Bacillati; Bacillota; Clostridia; Eubacteriales; Clostridiaceae.